RNAcentral lists this ribosomal RNA (450 nucleotides) under uncultured bacterium. RNAcentral describes it as "partial 16S ribosomal RNA". It matches the Rfam family "Bacterial small subunit ribosomal RNA", at positions 354 to 796 of the family's 1533-position model. The record is from RNAcentral.
GUGGGGAAUUUUGGACAAUGGGCGCAAGCCUGAUCCAGCAAUGCCUCGUGCAGGAAGAAGGCCUUCGGGUUGUAAACUGCUUUUGUACGGAACGAAACGGUCCGGGUUAAUACCCUGGGCUAAUGACGGUACCGUAAGAAUAAGCACCGGCUAACUACGUGCCAGCAGCCGCGGUAAUACGUAGGGUGCAAGCGUUAAUCGGAAUUACUGGGCGUAAAGCGUGCGCAGGCGGUUUUGUAAGACAGGCGUGAAAUCCCCGGGCUCAACCUGGGAGCUGCAAUGGUGACUGCAAGGCAGGAGUGCGGCAGAGGGGGAUGGAAUUCCGCGUGUAGCAGUGAAAUGCGUAGAUAUGCGGAGGAACACCGAUGGCGAAGGCAAUCCCCUGGGCCUGCACUGACGCUCAUGCACGAAAGCGUGGGGAGCAAACAGGAUUAGAUACCCGUGUAGUCC